Leopardus geoffroyi (Geoffroy's cat) is the source of this 362-nucleotide long non-coding RNA. RefSeq lists it as uncharacterized. The transcript is spliced from 2 exons. Lineage: Eukaryota; Metazoa; Chordata; Mammalia; Carnivora; Felidae. The record is from RefSeq and is a predicted model, not a curated record.
UUUACUUUUCUGAAGCUAUGAGUAAAAUAGUGAAUCAUAGUUAAGAAAUAGCCACUACUAGUAUUAAAGAUACCUUUUUUUCUUUUAAAUUUAGGAACGUAAUUUAACACAGCUUAGCAUUUGAAGAAAACUAAGAUUUGUUUGUUCAAAUAAACAGGGAAGUGUAAAGCCAGUGGGGAUCAUAUGACCAAGGCAGUGAAACAAGGGCUUCAUGAUAAAUAUGCCAUGGACAAAGGUCAAGCAAAGGAUAAUAACUCAAUUCCUUAAAUGAAAGCUUCAAAGUAAAUCUUCUGUGUUUAACAGCAGUAUACAGGGGUCAAGAUUACAAUGUCCCAGACUAGAGAAUAAAAUGUGUGUUAAUA